Long non-coding RNA from Oreochromis aureus, 763 nucleotides. RefSeq lists it as uncharacterized. NCBI's taxonomy places the organism in Eukaryota, Metazoa, Chordata, Actinopteri, Cichliformes, Cichlidae. The transcript has 2 exons. The record is from RefSeq and is a predicted model, not a curated record.
UUAGAUUCUUGAUGAAUGUGUGUUGUUGUUAUUCACCCUGGUUCAGUGUGCCCCUUUUUAGCUUUGAGCACCCGCCCCUAUAAACGUCUCUGCACGGCCCUGAUCAAGACAAUACAUUAAAGAGAAAUACACUAAAGAGAAAUCCCACAACACACACUAUCACUGUAUCAGCUUCCCCUGGUUUUAAAUGUUUCAGUGAUUUAAAAGAUUUUCCAGUGGUGAGGCAGUUUGAACUGAAUAUCUGACUGUCUCAGUGUUCAGAUAGUUAAGCUAGCUAGUUAAUUGAGAAGCAAGAAUUAAGAACAUGACAUGAGUGAGCAAAGUGGCUACUCUCAUGGUAGUGGUUGUUUUCAAAUCCCUCCCAAUCUUAAAAAUGCCAUACAUACAUGGUUAGCUAUACUGUCAUAGCAGCUGUUUUUGGCAUUUAUCGAAAGCUAUAGUAACCUUCCAAAGAGUGAACAGAACGAAAAAGUUUAGCCAGACAUGUACAGUUAUACAUUUACUCAUCUUUCGACCAGCAGGUCCUCAGUUCUGUUGCACAAGCAGUCAGAUAUAUAAAUUUUCCUUGGCUUGGGCAGGUGGUCACAGGGACUAAAGCUGCAGAGGUUUUAGAGAUGGAGCCAUAUCCAGCCUGGACUUUCUUACUGUCGUUUUUAGUUAUGACUUCCUCAUGUGAUGGUGGAAAAGUGCUAGUGUUUCCAGUAGAUGGAAGCCACUGGCUUAACAUGAAAAUCCUUGUGGAGGCUCUUCACUCUCAAUGUCA